CGCAGGGGCGGGGCUUUGCGGACGCAAGCACGUCGAAGCGCUGCUCCCGGAGCCGCGGAGGCUGCGGGUUUGGCUGCGGCGGUUGCUGUGGCGGAGGUUGGAGGUUGGAGAGAAAUCCAGGUACUCACUUGACUGGUACCUUCUGCCACCAUGGGGGAGCUUUUCCGGAGUGAAGAAAUGACACUGGCCCAGCUUUUUCUACAGUCAGAAGCUGCUUAUUGUUGUGUCAGUGAAUUAGGAGAACUUGGAAAGGUUCAGUUUCGUGACUUAAAUCCAGAUGUGAAUGUUUUCCAACGGAAAUUUGUGAAUGAGGUUAGAAGAUGUGAAGAAAUGGAUCGAAAGCUUCGAUUUGUUGAGAAAGAGAUAAGAAAAGCUAACAUUCCGAUUAUGGACACCGGUGAAAACCCAGAGGUUCCCUUCCCCCGGGACAUGAUUGACUUAGAGGCCAAUUUUGAGAAGAUUGAAAAUGAACUGAAGGAAAUCAACACAAACCAGGAAGCUCUGAAGAGAAACUUCCUGGAACUGACCGAAUUAAAAUUUAUACUUCGCAAAACUCAGCAAUUUUUUGAUGAGGCUGAAUUGCAUCAUCAGCAGAUGGCGGAUCCAGACUUGUUGGAAGAGUCCUCAUCCCUCUUGGAGCCAAGUGAGAUGGGAAGAGGCGCGCCUUUAAGACUUGGCUUCGUGGCUGGUGUCAUUAACCGGGAGCGCAUCCCUACUUUUGAGCGCAUGCUUUGGCGGGUAUGCCGGGGAAAUGUGUUCCUGCGACAGGCUGAAAUCGAGAACCCCCUGGAGGAUCCUGUGACUGGCGACUACGUGCACAAGUCUGUGUUUAUCAUUUUCUUCCAAGGCGAUCAGCUGAAAAACAGAGUCAAGAAAAUCUGUGAAGGGUUCCGAGCCUCACUCUAUCCCUGUCCUGAGACACCACAGGAGAGGAAGGAAAUGGCUUCUGGAGUGAAUACCAGGAUUGAUGAUCUCCAAAUGGUUCUGAAUCAAACGGAGGAUCACCGCCAGAGGGUUCUGCAGGCAGCUGCUAAGAACAUCCGUGUCUGGUUCAUCAAAGUGCGGAAGAUGAAGGCCAUCUAUCACACCCUGAACCUGUGCAACAUAGAUGUGACUCAGAAAUGCUUGAUUGCAGAGGUCUGGUGCCCUGUCACCGACCUUGACUCCAUCCAGUUUGCACUCAGAAGGGGCACGGAACACAGUGGUUCCACUGUACCUUCCAUUUUGAACAGGAUGCAGACAAACCAGACUCCCCCAACCUAUAACAAAACCAACAAGUUUACCUAUGGCUUUCAGAACAUAGUAGAUGCUUAUGGAAUUGGAACUUACCGAGAGAUAAAUCCAGCUCCAUAUACUAUUAUCACGUUCCCUUUUCUGUUUGCUGUGAUGUUUGGAGACUUUGGUCAUGGCAUUUUAAUGACCCUUUUUGCUGUGUGGAUGGUACUGAGGGAGAGCCGGAUCCUUUCCCAGAAGAAUGAGAAUGAGAUGUUUAGCACUGUGUUCAGUGGUCGAUACAUUAUUUUAUUGAUGGGUGUGUUCUCCAUGUACACUGGCCUCAUCUACAAUGAUUGCUUUUCCAAGUCUCUUAAUAUCUUUGGGUCAUCCUGGAGUGUACGGCCGAUGUUUACUUAUAAUUGGACUGAAGAGACGCUUCGGGGGAACCCUGUUCUACAGCUGAACCCAGCCCUCCCUGGAGUGUUUGGUGGACCAUACCCUUUUGGCAUUGAUCCAAUUUGGAACAUUGCUACCAAUAAACUGACCUUCUUGAACUCCUUUAAGAUGAAGAUGUCUGUUAUCCUUGGUAUCAUCCAUAUGCUGUUUGGAGUCAGCCUGAGUCUGUUCAACCAUAUCUAUUUCAAGAAGCCCCUGAAUAUCUACUUUGGAUUUAUUCCUGAAAUAAUCUUCAUGACCUCUUUGUUUGGCUAUUUGGUUAUCCUUAUUUUUUACAAGUGGACGGCCUAUGAUGCUCAUACCUCUGAGAAUGCACCAAGCCUUCUGAUCCAUUUCAUAAACAUGUUCCUCUUUUCCUACCCAGAGUCUGGUUAUUCAAUGUUGUAUUCUGGACAGAAAGGAAUUCAGUGUUUCCUGGUAGUGGUUGCACUACUGUGUGUACCUUGGAUGCUGCUGUUUAAACCAUUGGUCCUUCGCCAUCAGUAUUUGAGGAGAAAGCAUUUGGAAGGGCAACCUGUGGAGGCCCCAGUCAGCCCAAACCCGAGCCAACAGGGACUAGAGGCAGCAGCGGCUGCAACAGGAACUCUCAACUUUGGUGGGAUCAGGGUGGGCAACGGACCGACAGAGGAGGAUGCUGAGAUUAUUCAGCAUGACCAGCUCUCCACCCACUCAGAGGACGCAGACGAGCCUACCGAGGACGAAGUGUUUGACUUUGGGGACACCAUGGUCCACCAGGCCAUCCACACCAUCGAGUACUGCCUGGGCUGCAUCUCCAACACUGCCUCCUACUUGCGGCUCUGGGCCCUCAGCCUCGCUCAUGCGCAGCUGUCUGAGGUGCUUUGGACCAUGGUGAUCCACAUCGGCCUGAGCGUGAAGAGCUUGGCAGGAGGUUUGGUGCUGUUCUUCUUCUUCACUGCCUUUGCCACCCUGACCGUGGCCAUCCUCCUGAUCAUGGAGGGCCUCUCGGCCUUUCUCCACGCACUGCGCUUACACUGGUCCCCCUGAACUGAAGUGAUGAGUGGCAGGACAGCAGGCUUCGGAAUUGGGCGACCUGGGUUGGAAUUCCAGCACUGUCACACCAGGCAGGGGACCUGAGCAGAACAUUCACUGCCAAGAUUACUGUGAGCAAGUAGGAAGUAAUGCACACACCAAGUGCUGCCACAGCAAAAGCAGGGUUGAGUUCCAGAAUAAAUUCUACAGCGGGACCGGUUUCAAGUUCUUACCCUUCUCCUUCGAGCAUAUUCGGGAAGGGAAGUUUGAAGAGUGAGUCCCUGUGAGGGCCGUGUGCCCCAUGCUACCCUCCCCGCCUCCGUCCACAGUGAUCAGCUGUGCCUCUCUGCCUGUUGGUUGUGAUCUGUGGGCACCAGCUCAUUCGUGUCACCCCGUCUGUGAGUCAUUUAGAUAGAAUAGUCCUCCUUGGGUCUCCCACCACCCCUAGCUUUGUGUGUAGUGUAGUGAUUUUCUGGCUGUCACUCAUACUCACUGGGCACCAGCCUUGCCCUCUUAGCCUCCAUCCAUCCAGACAGCCCUUCCCACCUCCUGGUGGUGAGCCAGUCUGCAUUCCCACGCCAUCCCAAAGCCCUUUCAUCUUCCCUGUGCAUUGUAGAUGGAAGGAGCACCCAUGCCAUUCACAUCUAGACUUUGAGUUCCCUGCAUCUGCCACCGUAGUUUCUAGCAGGAGUAGUGGGGGGAAUAAUACAGGUUCUUCCCUAGAAGGGGACACUGGUAACAUGUCCCACUCUUGGAUUAGCAGGGGUGGGUCCAGGAAGAUGAUAUUUGCGUCUUUUGCCCACCCCCCUCUCGUGCUUGUUAAUCAGGCAUUCAGCUGGACCCAACUAGGCCAUCAUGAGUGGCUUCUCCCUGUCAUCCCCAGGGGUCAUAGGAUAUCUACACUGCCUUUCUGACCCCACCGUGCACUCCCAUCCUUUCCUCUCUCCCCGUUCAUGCCCUGCACUACAUAGCACAGCCGGGAUGCUUGGAACAGAGGCCUUGGCUGCUCCGCAGUGCACAGGGCUUCCCUCUCUCGGGGUUGGCUUCUUCCCAGGCCUUGCAUGGGCCCUGCCCACAAGCACACCCUCAGGCCGAGGGUGCAGACUAAUGCUCUUCCCUGGUGGAGACCCUGAGAUCUUCCCCACCCCCAAUCAUGAUGUCUUCAAUGUGGGACUGGGGUCCUCUUGGUUCUGCCUGCAGCCUGCCUGGCUCCGCCCCUAGUGCCCCCUCCUCACCACACUGGCCCCAGGUCUCAGGAGGGGUGUCCUGGGCAGGGAAGGUCAGUGUCACUGAUGGUUUGCUGUUUGGAAGCCAUUGGCAGGGCUGCCGUGCAUGUGGCUGUGAGGGCUGCACAGUCCUGCCAAGGGGCUUCCUCCUUGUCACCCCAAACCUUGUAAUCAUAUGCUGGCGUGGCAGCCCUGGCUAAGUUAAUCCCCACCGCUUUCAGUGGUAGAAAGAAUUCCCUGAGUGGGCCAGGCUGGUGCCCUCCUCCCACCCUGGCUUUUCUGAGUGAGCUGCCUGGAGCCCUCAUCCCCUCUCCCAGGCUGGGCCGGCCCUGGGCGGGGCCACUGUGUGCUGGCCCACUGUGACCUGACCCGACCUUGUGCAGCCCCCCUGCCCUGGUGUCCUGGGUUUUCGUGAUGAUCUUUGCUCUGUUUCCAGUGGGGUUUGAAGCAGAGUUCAGGGAACCCUGCCCAAGGCCCUCCUGUUCAGACAUUCCUAUGUUGAAUAAAGUAUGUUUGACUCCCCCA
RNA transcript from Gorilla gorilla gorilla (western lowland gorilla), 4412 nucleotides. It is a transcript of the gene named ATPase H+ transporting V0 subunit a1, with no coding region annotated. The record is from RefSeq and is a predicted model, not a curated record. The transcript has 24 exons. Lineage: Eukaryota; Metazoa; Chordata; Mammalia; Primates; Hominidae.